Molecule: long non-coding RNA, 373 nt
Organism: Peromyscus maniculatus bairdii (prairie deer mouse)
Lineage: Eukaryota; Metazoa; Chordata; Mammalia; Rodentia; Cricetidae
Source: RefSeq, a predicted model, not a curated record
CUUCCACAAUGUUCCCAGAGUCUUAAGUGCCAUAGUUGUUUUGUAAAUGUAUCCACUGAGACUGUGUUCUACAACUCUGCAUUUCUGUUUGUUGUUGUUUUCUCUGGUGGUCUCUGUUUGUUGCUUACUGAAGUUCCUGGAUGAGAGAACCAGAGUACCCUUAUCAAGUGGCCUGCAACUGCCUGUAACCACAGAUCCAGGGGAUUAUUUCUUCUAUUCUCAUACCCUAGGAAAAGAGCACAUUUCAAUCUCCAGACAGUACACAUUUGCAAUAAUUUGUGGAAAGAGACUGGAAAAUUUGGGAAGCAUUUUCUGCCAUGCCAUGUCUUUAAAAGGGAUUCCUCAGAUUCUCUGUAAAUGCUGAUAAUUACAA